This 497-nucleotide ribosomal RNA is filed under the name uncultured bacterium. Its description in RNAcentral is "partial 16S ribosomal RNA". It matches the Rfam family "Bacterial small subunit ribosomal RNA", at positions 28 to 507 of the family's 1533-position model. The record is from RNAcentral.
GAUGAACGCUGGCGGCGUGCCUAAUACAUGCAAGUCGAGCGAACAGACGAGGAGCUUGCUCCUCUGACGUUAGCGGCGGACGGGUGAGUAACACGUGGCUAACCUACCUAUAAGACUGGGAUAACUUCGGGAAACCGGAGCUAAUACCGGAUAAUAUAUUUAACCGCAUGGUUCUAUAGUGAAAGACGGUUUUGCUGUCACUUAUCGAUGGAUCCGCGCCGCAUUAGCUAGUUGGUAAGGUAACGGCUUACCAAGGCAACGAUGCGUAGCCGACCUGAGAGGGUGAUCGGCCACACUGGAACUGAGACACGGUCCAGACUCCUACGGGAGGCAGCAGUAGGGAAUCUUCCGCAAUGGGCGAAAGCCUGACGGAGCAACGCCGCGUGAGUGAUGAAGGUCUUCGGAUCGGAAAACUCUGUUAUUAGGGAAGAACAAAUGUGUAAGUAACUAUGCACGUCUUGACGGUACCUAAUCAGAAAGCCACGGCUAACUACGUG